UGUGUGUGAUGUGGUGGUGGUUUGUGUGUGCGUGUGUAUUUACACCCUUAUCAGUGAAUGGCCGUGUUCCCACGACACCCACACAGCCAACUACUUUCCACCCUGUGCAUCAUGCCAGCUCAGCUUGUGCGGGUAGUUCUUGGUCCAGUGCAUUGGCAAACCUGCAGAGCUCC
This is a non-coding RNA of Notechis scutatus (mainland tiger snake), 173 nucleotides long. The record is from RefSeq and is a predicted model, not a curated record. Lineage: Eukaryota; Metazoa; Chordata; Lepidosauria; Squamata; Elapidae.